CGUGUGUGUGUGUGUGUGUGUCUUUGUGGCAUUUUUCGACCAUUAAGAUUUAACCCUAUCAGUUUUGAUGCUAUGGAAGCUUAUGACGAAUUUGGCCUAGUUACUCCAAUGCUGUGUCAUUUCUUUGUCCCUUUUCUGCCAUUGAUUGAUAUGUCACAUUCUGGCAUUAGGAAAGUUAGGUGCAACCCAUCUAAUCCAUGAUUUUGAUCUCUAUGUUAAAUACUAUACAUGUGGACAUUCCACUAGAAAUGUUUUUCUGAGUUUCAGUUGUGGUAGAUUAUAACCUGCUUCCUCUAUACACCUUUAUUCCUAUUUUAUCUAAUUGCAAUUGCAUUUUCCAAGUGUGUGACUUUCUUCAUGUUCUUAUUCUCAAAAUUUCAUCCUGAGCUGCAAGUAGCACAAGGAAAUAAGAUUUGCCUGUUAUUUAUUAAACACAAUGCUAACAAAACUUCAGCAUCAUUAACUCUGAAGAAAUGGGCUAUGAGGUCUGCUUGUGCUCCAUUUGUCUAAAAGCUAGUAUACUGGUAUCAUUCGGUCACUAGCAAAUUAGGGUACAUGUUUGGCUGGCUUCCACAUAUAGACUGGCUGGAAUUGAGUUCAUUAUUUUCAUACUAUUUGCUUUUGCUGUUAAUAUUUCUUCAUCUGGAUACGAGUUAAGAUCAUGGACUGCAUCAUCUUGUUCUCCUGGCUAAUAUAUCUUUCUUCGCAGUUUAUUAUCUCAUCUGCUUGAGAUAUUUUUGCAAAGUAAUGGUAAUCUUUGAGCUGCUGCUCACAUUUGUUCCUUUUUCCACAG
RNAcentral lists this unclassified non-coding RNA (793 nucleotides) under Hevea brasiliensis (rubber tree). Lineage: Eukaryota; Viridiplantae; Streptophyta; Magnoliopsida; Malpighiales; Euphorbiaceae. The record is from RNAcentral.